Molecule: ribosomal RNA, 392 nt
Filed under: uncultured bacterium
Lineage: Bacteria
Description: partial 16S ribosomal RNA
Rfam family: Bacterial small subunit ribosomal RNA
Source: RNAcentral
AUACGUAGGGAGCGAGCGUUGUCCGGAAUUACUGGGCGUAAAGGGUGCGCAGGCGGCCAUUUAAGUCAGCGGUUAAAUCGUGGGGCUCAACCCCAUUCUGCCGUUGAUACUGGGUGGCUUGAUUGCGGUCGAGGUUGGCGGAAUUCGUUGUGUAGCGGUGAAAUGCAUAGAUAUGACGAAGAACACCGAUUGCGUAGGCAGCUGACCAGACCGCAAAUGACGCUCAUGCACGAAAGUGCGGGGAUCGAACAGGAUUAGAUACCCUGGUAGUCCGCACAGUAAACGAUGAAUACUUGUUUUCGGCGAUAUAAUGUCGGAGGCAAAGCGAAAGCGAUAAGUAUUCCACCUGGGGAGUACGCCGGCAACGGUGAAACUCAAAGGAAUUGACGGGG